This 752-nucleotide ribosomal RNA is filed under the name uncultured Halobacteria archaeon. RNAcentral's name for it is "bacterial SSU rRNA". It matches the Rfam family "Archaeal small subunit ribosomal RNA", at positions 520 to 1268 of the family's 1478-position model. The record is from RNAcentral. Lineage: Archaea; Methanobacteriati; Methanobacteriota; Halobacteria.
CGUAGCUGGCCUCGCAAGUCCGUCGGGAAAUCCAUCAGCCCAACUGAUGGGCGUCCGGCGGAAACUACAAGGCUUGGGACCGGAAGGCUCGAGGGGUACGUCCGGGGUAGGAGUGAAAUCCUGUAAUCCUGGACGGACCAGCAAUGGGGAAACCACGUUGAGAGACCGGACCCGACAGUGAGGGACGAAAGCCAGGGUCUCGAACCGGAUUAGAUACCCGGGUAGUCCUGGCUGUAAACAAUGCUCGCUAGGUAUGUCACGCGCCAUGAGCACGUGAUGUGCCGUAGUGAAGACGAUAAGCGAGCCGCCUGGGAAGUACGUCCGCAAGGAUGAAACUUAAAGGAAUUGGCGGGGGAGCACCACAACCGGAGGAGCCUGCGGUUUAAUUGGACUCAACGCCGGACAUCUCACCGGUCCCGACAGUAGUAAUGACAGUCAGGUUGACGACCUUACCCGACGCUACUGAGAGGAGGUGCAUGGCCGCCGUCAGCUCGUACCGUGAGGCGUCCUGUUAAGUCAGGCAACGAGCGAGACCCACACUUCUAGUUGCCAGCAACACCCCUGCGGUGGUUGGGUACACUAGGAGGACUGCCAUUGCUAAAAUGGAGGAAGGAAUGGGCAACGGUAGGUCAGUAUGCCCCGAAUGUGCUGGGCAACACGCGGGCUACAAUGGUCGAGACAAAGGGUUCCUACUCCGAAAGGAGACGGUAAUCUCAGAAACUCGAUCGUAGUUCGGAUUGUGGGCUGCAACU